This is a non-coding RNA of Saimiri boliviensis boliviensis (Bolivian squirrel monkey), 104 nucleotides long. Lineage: Eukaryota; Metazoa; Chordata; Mammalia; Primates; Cebidae. The record is from RefSeq and is a predicted model, not a curated record.
GUGCUCGCUUCGGCAGCACAUAAUACUAAAAUUGGAACGAUACAGAGAAGAUUAGCAUUUGAACAAUGAGAACACAUGGACACAGGGAGGGGAGCACUACACAC